Triticum aestivum (bread wheat) is the source of this 414-nucleotide long non-coding RNA. RefSeq lists it as uncharacterized. The record is from RefSeq and is a predicted model, not a curated record. The transcript is spliced from 4 exons. NCBI's taxonomy places the organism in Eukaryota, Viridiplantae, Streptophyta, Magnoliopsida, Poales, Poaceae.
UCUCUGGUUGCUCUCUCUCUCUCUCACUUUGUUCUUAGACCAGGGAUGAAAAGAAAACAGUGCAUACCAGCUUCUGACUGCGAUUUCUAACUAUUUGGGAUCAGAUUUAGAAGAUGUUACAGUUGAAGAAAAGAUAGAUCAAGGAAGAAACAAUGAAAAGAAAAGGUGGGCCACAUAGCAAGGAAUGUGAGAAACCUGCCAAGAUGGUUAAGACCAAUCAAAUAUGCAAUCCAACAAGACAAUCAACAAAAAUGGCAAGAUUAGAAAGGAGAAUCAAACUUCAAGCAAAGAAAAUGAGACAGACUUCGAUCAUAAAUGGAGAAGUGCCAGGCCGUGCAACUAUACUAGAAGAACAACUUCUGAUCCAUGUGAAGGACAAAGCUAAAGAGGCAAGGCUGUAUCGGAAAAGAAAAA